UGUUGGAUGUUGAGAAGAAAUCUGUGAUAAAUAUCAUCGCUGGUUCUGAGGGUUUUAUGGUUUAUGUUUCUGUCUUUGUCUUUCUCAUUUCAAGCCCUCUGUCUUCAUAUUAAUUGGUUCAUGAUCUUGAGCAAAGCAGUAAGUGGCAUCCAAAAAUACAUGCCUCUCAGAGGGCAGGGAACCAAGCAAGGAGAACCGUGGUCCCAAAGACUCAUCAGUGCUCUGUUCCCAUUUAUUCCUUCUGGACCUGUCACAGCCUCCUCACAACUCCUUCUGCUGGCUAUUGCUAAGUGUCCAGCACCCCCUUUGAAGAGGAUUUUAAAAACAAUGCAAUUGCCUUCCACUUAGGUCACAUAUAUGCUUGAGAGAUUUGCCAGAAGGUUUCAGUAUGUGAGGAGAUUUUUUUUAUAAGUGAAAGGCAACAGUUGAGGAUUGGAUAAGAGGAGAGCGGUCAUAUACAUCGACAGUAGGGACCUGGGUGAAAAGUGGGAAAAGAUUCUCAAAUGGUGAGAGUAAAAAGGCAUAAAUACUGCAGCAGGGAAAACUAUGGAUUCUCCUUUUUGGCUUAAAGAGGAAAAAAAAGUACAGGUAAUUGUCAGUUAGAUAUGAGAGAGUAGCCCGGCUUAAAGCAGGAGUGUAUCCAUCCCAUUAUGCCACCUGAGUGGGCUCUGACAGGUUGGAAUAUAUAGGAAGCAUCAAGAGGACCAGGAGGGAAGAGAACAAGAGAAGAGAAUGAAAUUAAGCAUAUCUGUAAUACCAUACUCUUCAAAAUUCCAAGGACUUUACAAAGAAUGUGUCUGGACUAACAAAAAUCCCCGUAAAGGGUAGCCAGUGUAUAAAUAAACACAAAUUAGAGGUUCAGGUAUUCUUGUCACAACACGGCUGCUGUGGGCAUUCCAUUGCCUGCUGCAUGCCUGCAAGAGGUUCUAGAUGGCAUGGUUCUCCAAGUUGGUCUGGGGAUGUCUGUGGUUCCCAGAUACUUUCAGGGCAUCUAUAAGGCACUGAGACAUCAAAGGAGAUGAGUGGCAACCCUGUCCUUCAGGUGGACACAUUUUGAAAGGCUACUGCUGUUUGCUCUCUGUGAUCCAGAGAAUAGAGAAAAAAAGAAUUUCGCGUUGUCCAUUUCAGGGAAGCUUCCUGAAGUGAGUGAAGGAACUGUGUCCAAGGACAGUGUUCAGUGAGGCGUGGUUUUCUUCUUGUCCUUAUGCAAGCUCUUUCCUGAAUGUGCCACAGACAGCCUCCCAUAUUCUCUCCUAUAUUCUGACCCCAUAGAGACCCCCCUCCUCUGUCUCCCCAUCCUUCUACACAAAAUUUCAGUGGCACCUCCUAUGGGAAGACCUCUUUGAGCACCUCUACUACCCCCAGGCAGACUUCAUUUCCUCCUCACCUGAGUCCCCAGCAUUCCAAGAGUUAUUAUUGUGUAUUGCUUGCAACUCGUUGUCUACCCCUUGCUAAAUGUUCUUCCUUUAGAGGGAAAUGCACAGCUUCUUCUUCUUUUUUUUAAUAUAAUUUAUUGUCAAAUUGGUUUAAAAAAAAGUGAGGAGAUAUAUUCUUUGACCCUAAGCAUGCUUGUAGCCCACACAACUGGACUCUGGGUGGCAUUCUUAGGAGUCUCUCCAUUUAUCUUUCCCAGGUCAUCUGAAAUAUUAUUUCCCUUUUCUCAAACCUCACUCAUUCUUUAUGACCUGAGCCAAACCCCAACUCCUCCAUAAAGGGAUCGAUGGUGACUCUAAUUUUGCUGGCCAAACUUUUCUCUAAAAUACUGUUAAAUUAAGAGUCUGUGCCACACAGUGUAAAAAACAGAUAUUUCUAAUCUGUAUUGGAUUGUUUCCUUGUUUCCUGUGAGUUACUCUCAUCCCCUUUUCAGGAGUUGAGCUUCUGAAGAGGCUAAUUUAUCAUAUACUUUUUAUAUUAGAUGCUUCCCAAACUCCUUCCAGCUGCAAAUAAAAACUCCAGCUCAAACUAGCUUCAACAAGAAGGACAUUUCUUAUCUCAUGUAGUUACAGGACCAGCCAUAGGGCGGGCUCUAGGCUUGGCAUGUUGGGGUCUCAGCUCCACCUCUCUCUGUGAUGCUCCGCCUUCUUUUACGAGUUGAUUUCAUCUUCAGGCCAAUAGGAGAAUGGCUGUGACCAUUCCUGAGCCCCUUCAGUUAUGACAAUAUCUGGAGAGAAUAAAUGCCUACGGGAAUGUGGAAACUUAUUCUUCAGAAUAAGUCUUCUUCAGAAGACCACCUCACACCGGAAUUAGCCAGAAUUGAGUUACAUGGCAUUUCUUCAACUCUGCGAGGAGAUGGGAUUUCCAUGAUGGGCUGCAAAUUGCCCCAGAACUGAGGACAAUAUCAGUUUCCUCAAGGUCAUGUAUGGUGAUGAUGAAGGAGGUGAGAUAUUUGAACAUAAAAGAAGGAAGAAUGGAGGAUGAGCAUCGGAUAGACGAUCAGUGGUGGACUGGGGCUGCCUUGUGCAAGAAAAGAGCAGAACAUCAAGAGAGAAGGGUGAUUUAUCCUGUGACCAGAGUGCACAGAAUCGACUGGAGAAACUAAUCAAAUCAGACUUGAUAAAGCCGAUGCUGCCUUAUAUCCCCUGUGCCUAGAAGCCUUGUCAAGCUGGUCUGCCAUGGAUCCUGAUUUAAAAUACAAGCUGACUCCUUCACCCCUUCUGAGUAGCAAUCCAGCUGCAUGGA
Felis catus (domestic cat) is the source of this 2679-nucleotide long non-coding RNA. RefSeq lists it as uncharacterized. Lineage: Eukaryota; Metazoa; Chordata; Mammalia; Carnivora; Felidae. The transcript has 2 exons. The record is from RefSeq and is a predicted model, not a curated record.